CCCUUAGAUGUUCGGGGCCGCACGCGCGCUACACUGAAGGACUCAGCGUGUCUCUCCCCCUAUCCCGAAAGGGAUGGGCAACCCGUUGAACCUCCUUCGUGCUAGGGAUUUGGGUUUGCAAUUAUCCCCCAUGAACGAGGAAUUCCCAGUAAGCGCGAGUCAUCAGCUCGCGUUGAUUACGUCCCUGCCCUUUGUACACACCGCCCGUCGCUACUACCGAUUGGAUGGUUUAGUGAGACCCUCGGAUCGGUCCCGACUCGGGGUGGGCUUCUGCCCCGGUCGUGGUUUCGCCGAGAAGACGGUCAAACUUGACUAUCUAGAGGAAGUAAAAGUCGUAACA
This 340-nucleotide ribosomal RNA is filed under the name uncultured eukaryote. Its description in RNAcentral is "partial 18S ribosomal RNA". It matches the Rfam family "Eukaryotic small subunit ribosomal RNA", at positions 1470 to 1796 of the family's 1831-position model. The record is from RNAcentral.